This 327-nucleotide ribosomal RNA is filed under the name uncultured eukaryote. RNAcentral's name for it is "partial 18S ribosomal RNA". It matches the Rfam family "Eukaryotic small subunit ribosomal RNA", at positions 1470 to 1796 of the family's 1831-position model. The record is from RNAcentral.
CCCUUAGAUGUUCUGGGCCGCACACGCGCUACACUGAAGGAGGCAGCGUGUACUCCUGGAUCGAAAGAUUUGGGUAACCCGCGAAUCUCCUUCGUGCUAGGGAUUGAGGUUUGCAAUUAUCUUUCAUGAACGAGGAAUUCCCAGUAAGUGCAAGUCAUAAGCUUGCGCUGACUACGUCCCUGCCCUUUGUACACACCGCCCGUCGCUACUACCGAUUGAAUGAUUUAGUGAGGACUUCGGACUGGGACCGAUGCGGCUUUCGGGCUGCGUCGGUAUUCUGGAAAGAUGUCCAAACUGUAUCAUUUAGAGGAAGUAAAAGUCGUAACA